AGUCGAGCGGACAGAUGGGAGCUUGCUCCCUGAUGUUAGCGGCGGACCCGUGAGUAACACGUGGGUAACCUGCCUGUAAGACUGGGAUAACUCCGGGAAACCGGGGCUAAUACCGGAUACUUGUUUGAACCGCAUGGUUCAAACAUAAAAGGUGGCUUCGGCUACCACUUACAGAUGGACCCGCGGCGCAUUAGCUAGUUGGUGAGGUAAUGGCUCACCAAGGCAACGAUGCGUAGCCGACCUGAGAGGGUGAUCGGCCACACUGGGACUGAGACACGGCCCAGACUCCUACGGGAGGCAGCAGUAGGGAAUCUUCCGCAAUGGACGAAAGUCUGACGGAGCAACGCCGCGUGAGUGAUGAAGGUUUUCGGAUCGUAAAGCUCUGUUGUUAGGGAAGAACAAGUGCCGUUCAAAUAGGGCGGCACCUUGACGGUACCUAACCAGAAAGCCACGGCUAACUACGUGCCAGCAGCCGCGGUAAUACGUAGGUGGCAAGCGUUGUCCGGAAUUAUUGGGCGUAAAGGGCUCGCAGGCGGUUUCUUAAGUCUGAUGUGAAAGCCCCCGGCUCAACCGGGGAGGGUCAUUGGAAA
This 590-nucleotide ribosomal RNA is filed under the name Bacillus sp. CH90_3T. RNAcentral's name for it is "bacterial SSU rRNA". It matches the Rfam family "Bacterial small subunit ribosomal RNA", at positions 60 to 632 of the family's 1533-position model. Lineage: Bacteria; Bacillati; Bacillota; Bacilli; Caryophanales; Bacillaceae. The record is from RNAcentral.